Molecule: non-coding RNA, 356 nt
Organism: Trichomonas vaginalis G3
Lineage: Eukaryota; Parabasalia; Trichomonadida; Trichomonadidae
Source: Rfam
GUAGUCUGCCAUACGCAGGAAGACCCGCUGAACUGAAGCAUCUCAUUAAGCGGAGGAAAAGAAACUAACUAGGAUUCCCUUAGUAAAGGCGAUCGAAAAGGGAACAGCCCAACGUCUUAAUCCCGCAAGGGAAAUGUAGUCGGUUCACCUAUUGCACUGGUCUAAGUCAGAUGGAAUGCUGCGCGAUUCAGAGUAAAAGCCUCGUAUGACCAACCGCAAGCUUACGAUGGACCGGGGAGAGUCGGAUACUUUGAGAGUAGUGUCUUAAGGGGGUGGUAUGUCCCAUCCAAGGCUAAAUAACGUGAGGAGACUCGAUAGAUUACAAGUAGUGUGAACGAAAGAUGAAAAGAACUCUA